UCGUCUCCAUCUUUCCUCGUCUCCUUCUUCCUCGUCCUUCUUCAUACAAACAUGAAUUCACACAAAAGUAAAAAUUCAGUUUCCUUCGUGUUUCUUUCGUUCGUGUUCUUCAUAUCUAUCCAAUUCAUAUGCCGAACGAAAAAUCACUAACUCAUAUUCAUCUUCCAAUCUCAAAUAACGGUAUUCUUGGUAUUCAUUUAAAGUACUGAUCUGUGUUAGUGAUUUUUCGACCUCAACUCAUCGUCCUCAAAUUUCGACCUCAAUCUUCCUAUUCAUUUAACUGUGUUAUUGGUAUCCAUCUUCGGACAUCAUGGAUCUCAUUUAAGAUUAGGGAUUUUCGUCGUCUUCCAAUUUCAUGGAUGUCGCCCAGAUUUUCAAAGGCACUUCUCCGGAUGCUUCGAAGUUAUUACGAACAUGUUUCUCAUUACGAGAAUUCGCUUGUGAAAAAAUUCUAUGUGGUACAUCAUGUCAAACCAAUUGGAGGCCAGAAGACCCGCUUCAUCAUGAUGGGCAAUGUUUUCUGCUCAGAAUAUCCAAUCCAUGGACGAUUUGACUUGAAGGGAUAAGACUGAAGAAGAGAUUGAUGAAACUACCACCCACAAGGACCUCGAUCUCAUCACGAAAGCAUGACUCUUAUCAGAGUGAAAAGUUUAUGCGUAGUUAUCGCUUCCUUGAAGCAGAACGCUACAGGACAAUGAUCGAGUCAAAGCUCUUCAUUUUUCCUAGAGUAUAAUUUUCUGUUUUGAUGUUUCUGGUGGAGCAGUGCAGCGCAUUUGCUGCUGCUCUUUGCUUGGGAGCUCUGUUUUUUUUUUUUUUUUGCUUUAUGAGUGUGUUAUAUAGCCUUCUGGUGUAUUUGUUUUGGGGACGUGUUUGUCCCAUUUUGCGGUUCUGCUGUUCGGUUUCGUUUUUGUGCGGAAUAUUGGAAAGUUUCCUUAAUAUCAUGAGGUAAAUCAUCCUAAAUAUUUAGUGUUAGUACAUAUCCAUGAAUGGUU
This is an RNA transcript of Medicago truncatula (barrel medic), 992 nucleotides long. RefSeq lists it as uncharacterized. The transcript has 4 exons. The record is from RefSeq and is a predicted model, not a curated record. Lineage: Eukaryota; Viridiplantae; Streptophyta; Magnoliopsida; Fabales; Fabaceae.